CCUACGGGCGGCAGCAGUGAGGAAUAUUGGUCAAUGGACGAGAGUCUGAACCAGCCAAGUAGCGUGAAGGAUGACUGCCCUAUGGGUUGUAAACUUCUUUUAUAUGGGAAUAAAAUGUUCCACGUGUGGGAUUUUGUAUGUACCAUAUGAAUAAGGAUCGGCUAACUCCGUGCCAGCAGCCGCGGUAAUACGGAGGAUCCGAGCGUUAUCCGGAUUUAUUGGGUUAAAAGGGAGCGUAGGUGGAUUGUUAAGUCAGUUGUGAAAGUUUGCGGCUCAACCGUAAAAUUGCAGUUGAAACUGGCAGUCUUGAGUACAGUAGAGGUGGGCGGAAUUCGUGGUGUAGCGGUGAAAUGCUUAGAUAUCACGAAGAACUCCGAUUGCGAAGGCAGUUCACUGGACUGCAACUGACACUGAGGCUCGAAAGUGUGGGUAUCAAACAGGAUUAGAUACCCGUGUAGUC
This 460-nucleotide ribosomal RNA is filed under the name uncultured bacterium. Its description in RNAcentral is "partial 16S ribosomal RNA". It matches the Rfam family "Bacterial small subunit ribosomal RNA", at positions 338 to 795 of the family's 1533-position model. The record is from RNAcentral.